GACGAACGCUGGCGGCGUGCUUAACACAUGCAAGUCGAACGAUGAACCACUUCGGUGGGGAUUAGUGGCGAACGGGUGAGUAACACGUGGGCAAUCUGCCCUUCACUCUGGGACAAGCCCUGGAAACGGGGUCUAAUACCGGAUAACACUGCCAUGGGCAUCUGUGGUGGUUAAAAGCUCCGGCGGUGAAGGAUGAGCCCGCGGCCUAUCAGCUUGUUGGUGAGGUAAUGGCUCACCAAGGCGACGACGGGUAGCCGGCCUGAGAGGGCGACCGGCCACACUGGGACUGAGACACGGCCCAGACUCCUACGGGAGGCAGCAGUGGGGAAUAUUGCACAAUGGGCGAAAGCCUGAUGCAGCGACGCCGCGUGAGGGAUGACGGCCU
RNAcentral lists this ribosomal RNA (385 nucleotides) under uncultured bacterium. Its description in RNAcentral is "bacterial SSU rRNA". It matches the Rfam family "Bacterial small subunit ribosomal RNA", at positions 28 to 417 of the family's 1533-position model. The record is from RNAcentral.